UGGGGAAUAUUGCACAAUGGGCGCAAGCCUGAUGCAGCCAUGCCGCGUGUAUGAAGAAGGCCUUCGGGUUGUAAAGUACUUUCAGCGAGGAGGAAGGCGGUAAGGUUAAUAACCUUAUCGAUUGACGUUACUCGCAGAAGAAGCACCGGCUAACUCCGUGCCAGCAGCCGCGGUAAUACGGAGGGUGCAAGCGUUAAUCGGAAUUACUGGGCGUAAAGCGCACGCAGGCGGUCUGGCAAGUCGGAUGUGAAAUCCCCGGGCUCAAACUGGGAACUGCAUUCGAAACUGGCAGGCUAGAGUCUUGUAGAGGGGGGUAGAAUUCCAGGUGUAGCGGUGAAAUGCGUAGAGAUCUGGAGGAAUACCGGUGGCGAAGGCGGCCCCCUGGACAAAGACUGACGCUCAGGUGCGAAAGCGUGGGGAGCAAACA
This 427-nucleotide ribosomal RNA is filed under the name uncultured bacterium. Its description in RNAcentral is "partial 16S ribosomal RNA". It matches the Rfam family "Bacterial small subunit ribosomal RNA", at positions 355 to 774 of the family's 1533-position model. The record is from RNAcentral.